UAGGGAAUCUUCGGCAAUGGACGAAAGUCUGACCGAGCAACGCCGCGUGAGUGAAGAAGGUUUUCGGAUCGUAAAACUCUGUUGUUAGAGAAGAACAAGGACGUUAGUAACUGAACGUCCCCUGACGGUAUCUAACCAGAAAGCCACGGCUAACUACGUGCCAGCAGCCGCGGUAAUACGUAGGUGGCAAGCGUUGUCCGGAUUUAUUGGGCGUAAAGCGAGCGCAGGCGGUUUCUUAAGUCGGAUGUGAAAGCCCCCGGCUCAACCGGGGAGGGUCAUUGGAAACUGGGAGACUUGAGUGCAGAAGAGGAGAGUGGAAUUCCAUGUGUAGGGGUGAAAUGCGUAGAUAUAUGGAGGAACACCAGUGGCGAAGGCGGAUCUCUGGUCUGUAACUGACGCUGAGGCUCGAAAGCGUGGGGAGCAAACAGG
RNAcentral lists this ribosomal RNA (429 nucleotides) under Gemmatimonadota bacterium. RNAcentral describes it as "Gemmatimonadetes bacterium partial 16S ribosomal RNA". It matches the Rfam family "Bacterial small subunit ribosomal RNA", at positions 355 to 776 of the family's 1533-position model. The record is from RNAcentral. Lineage: Bacteria; Pseudomonadati; Gemmatimonadota.